This 416-nucleotide ribosomal RNA is filed under the name Calcaritermes rioensis. Its description in RNAcentral is "partial large subunit ribosomal RNA". The stretch from base 1 to 209 matches the Rfam family "Archaeal large subunit ribosomal RNA", at positions 1889 to 2143 of the family's 2987-position model. Lineage: Eukaryota; Metazoa; Arthropoda; Insecta; Blattodea; Kalotermitidae. The record is from RNAcentral.
CGCCUGUUUNUCAAAAACAUCUCUUCUUGGUUUAUAUAUAUGAGGUAGGGCCUGCCCACUGAUUUUAUUGAAGGGCCGCGGUAUUUUGACCGUGCAAAGGUAGCAUAAUCAUUAGUUCUUUAAUUGUGAGCUGGUAUGAAUGGUUUGAUGAGGCGUCAACUGUCUUUCUUGGAUGUGAUUGAAUUUGGGGUUUGGGUAAGAAUACCUAACUUUUUUUAUGGGACGAGAAGACCCUAUAGAGUUUUAUGAUGGUAAAUCUUUUAUUGUUAGUUUGUUUUUAUAGCUUUUUCAUUAUUUUGUUGGGGUGAUGGGAAGAUAACUUAAACUCUUCUUUUUUAUAGGACAUAAAUUUAUGGAUAGUUGAUCCUUUAUUAUUGAUUAUAAGAUUAAAUUACCUUAGGGAUAACCAGCGUAAA